Molecule: ribosomal RNA, 649 nt
Filed under: uncultured bacterium
Lineage: Bacteria
Description: bacterial SSU rRNA
Rfam family: Bacterial small subunit ribosomal RNA
Source: RNAcentral
CAGGCCUAACACAUGCAAGUCGAGCGCGACCUCGGGUGAGCGGCGGACGGGUUAGUAACGCGUGGGAACGUGCCCUUCUCUACGGAAUAGCCUCUGGAAACGGAGAGUAAUACCGUAUACGCCCUUUGGGGGAAAGAUUUAUCGGAGAAGGAUCGGCCCGCGUUAGAUUAGGUAGUUGGUGGGGUAACGGCCUACCAAGCCUACGAUCUAUAGCUGGUUUUAGAGGAUGAUCAGCAACACUGGGACUGAGACACGGCCCAGACUCCUACGGGAGGCAGCAGUGGGGAAUCUUAGACAAUGGGGGCAACCCUGAUCUAGCCAUGCCGCGUGAGUGAUGAAGGCCUUAGGGUCGUAAAGCUCUUUCGCCUGUGAUGAUAAUGACAGUAGCAGGUAAAGAAACCCCGGCUAACUCCGUGCCAGCAGCCGCGGUAAUACGGAGGGGGUUAGCGUUGUUCGGAAUUACUGGGCGUAAAGCGCGCGUAGGCGGAUUAGAAAGUUGGGGGUGAAAUCCCGGGGCUCAACCUCGGAACUGCCUCCAAAACUACUAGUCUAGAGUUCGAGAGAAGUGAGUGGAAUUCCGAGUGUAGAGGUGAAAUUCGUAGAUAUUCGGAGGAACACCAGUGGCGAAGGCGGCUCACUGGCUCGAUAC